UUGAUCCUGGCUCAGAUUGAACGCUGGCGGCAUGCCUUACACAUGCAAGUCGAACGGUAACAGGUCUUCGGAUGCUGACGAGUGGCGAACGGGUGAGUAAUACAUCGGAACGUGCCCGAUCGUGGGGGAUAACGGAGCGAAAGCUUUGCUAAUACCGCAUACGAUCUACGGAUGAAAGCAGGGGACCGCAAGGCCUUGCGCGAACGGAGCGGCCGAUGGCAGAUUAGGUAGUUGGUGGGAUAAAAGCUUACCAAGCCGACGAUCUGUAGCUGGUCUGAGAGGACGACCAGCCACACUGGGACUGAGACACGGCCCAGACUCCUACGGGAGGCAGCAGUGGGGAAUUUUGGACAAUGGGCGAAAGCCUGAUCCAGCCAUGCCGCGUGCAGGAUGAAGGCCUUCGGGUUGUAAACUGCUUUUGUACGGAACGAAAAGACUCUGGUUAAUACCUGGGGUCCAUGACGGUACCGUAAGAAUAAGCACCGGCUAACUACGUGCCAGCAGCCGCGGUAAUACGUAGGGUGCAAGCGUUAAUCGGAAUUACUGGGCGUAAAGCGUGCGCAGGCGGUUAUAUAAGACAGAUGUGAAAUC
RNAcentral lists this ribosomal RNA (591 nucleotides) under uncultured bacterium. RNAcentral's name for it is "bacterial SSU rRNA". It matches the Rfam family "Bacterial small subunit ribosomal RNA", at positions 13 to 601 of the family's 1533-position model. The record is from RNAcentral.